CGCUAGCGUAUCUAGUCUCUGUAUAUCUAUGGUCGGCACGUCUGGUAGCGUCUCUGGCUGCUGUUGAUCUUGUUUUUGGAGUAAAACACGGUGGAAGCUGAAUUAGUGAGGAUGACUCCUGCUUCUGUCAUCUCUAAGCUCCUCACACAUCUUUACCUGCACAUGAGGAAAAUCACUCCUGUAGAAUGCAGAUGCACAAUGAGGGACGUCUGCAGAGACUGAGAAAGAGUCUCACCACAUCCUGACAUGAGGAAAAAGACUUUAUUGAAGACUACAAUGAGAAAAACUAUCAGACAGCAGACGGCUGCAUUCAAGGUGAGCUCUGAACAUUUGAUCUGGAACAGGAAUUCAAUAACGGCAGCAUGAGCUUCAUUUCAGUCUGUAGCUGCUGAAUUCAUGGAUGAAUCAUCUGGCACUAGAGAAGAAGACCAUCAAACAUCCACAUCAGCUGAUGGAGGCCCAAGAGUCUCACCAAAC
Amphiprion ocellaris (clown anemonefish) is the source of this 477-nucleotide long non-coding RNA. The record is from Ensembl. NCBI's taxonomy places the organism in Eukaryota, Metazoa, Chordata, Actinopteri, Pomacentridae.